GCCGGCCUACCAGGCCCCGCCUCGUACCCGCCUCCAGGAGCCCCGCCCCCGCGCCAUCUUGGCCCCGCCCCGCCCCCGGGGUCCCUCCCGCGGUCCGGAUGGGAGUGUCUGCCCGAGCCGGGUCAGCGCGGGUCGCAGAUCCGUCUGCUGGGGGAGGCCUGGCCUCUUCUCCGUGCGGCGCAGGCCACGUCCACCAGCCCUUCCAGGGCCUCCGGGAGCCGCGGACAGCGCCUCGCGGGGCCUCGUCGUGCGGCCUGCGAGAGGACCCAGAGGUGCAGUCCUGGGAGCCGCCUGGGCUCCGGGGAAGCCGGGCCGGUGUGCACGGACGCCGCCUCUCAGUCUCCCGCGGCUGCCCUGGAGGACGGUGGCUGCCCUGCGAGCGAGCGGCAGGUAGCCCGGCUCGUCCGGAGACCACGCCAGGACGCGGCUUUGGGCUCGGUCCAGCUCGGCUUCGCAGGGUCACCGCCCUCUCUGGCACGCGAGGACCCCCCCCCCCCCCGAAAAGAUUACCUUUUUAUUUUUAGGACAGUUUAAGUAUUUCGUCUGAUUAUAACCCAGUACUGUAGGCUCGGACUAAUGCCUUCCGAGGUUGGAUCAUUUUUGUGUGUUUGCUCCUUAUUUUGGAAGAGCCCGGACCAGAGAUGCGUUCGCUGGCCUUUCUCUUAAAGUUUUAAUCACGCAAGAAAGACACGAAUCACUGAUUGCAGUUGUAGGAUACUCGACAUGACGCAAAGUUCCAAACGUUCCCCUCCGCCCCACCACUGUACUCCAGUUUCGUUCGUCAGUACCCGUUUUUCUAUGCAUUCAUAAACAUCAGCACGUCACUGGAAACGUGAUCCGUUCGAAUUCCGUUGCAUCGACCCGUGUGUCUACAGCAGAGUGGACGUACUGAAGCGGUUGGAAACAGAAGCCUGGAGGGCUGGUCCUGGAGCUCCUCAGUCCCCUGGCACCCAGCCUCCUCCUUACCCUGCUCCAUUCUACAGGCCGUGGUUUCUAUCCUCAAGUUCACUGCGGGUUCCGCAAUGGUGACUAGAGCCCCUGCGACGAGAAGGUGGAAGGAGGGGAGGUGUCAAGGAGCCCACUUUUCUACCAAGUUCGCUUCCUUUAAGCAGCCUGCUCAGUUCUGCCUAUAUCUGGCCAGAGCCGAGCCCUGCAGAGAGAGAGGAGGCUGGGAGACUGUCUUCUAGUUGUAUACAUUGUCACCCCAGAUAAAAGCGGGAUUGUGUUAUCUCGGGAAGAGAGGAGGUGGCUGUGGAUGUGUCUGUGCCUCCCUUUCACCCUGAGGACAAUUGUGUGUGAAUUCUGUCCCGCUGAAGAGCUGGGUGACUUUGCCUGUCCCCAUGCAUGCAUCUCUAUGUAUACAGAUGAUGACAUUUUUUACUGACAUGGAGCAGAGUCUCUAAGAAAAAGAGGUGUUUUUUUUUUUUCCCCUUUCCUUUUCUUUUCUGAAAUCAUAGGGGAAAUGUCAUAAGCUUUCUCCCCAGGGCACACGGCUCCACCCAGUGGCUCGCAGCCCUGUCCCGGUUCAGUCACGGCUAAAACACAUGAGCAGCUGUGGUCGGUCAUGUGCUCUGCUGGGAGGGGUCCUGCCGGUCAUUUAUUUUGCCAGCUGCCAAGCGAAGGUGCAAAAGUGUGGAGAGUACUGGGCCACAGAAUCUGGUUAUACGGGGGUGGGGGGGAAGGGGGGGAGAGGGUCAUUUAGUGUUUCACAGAAAUUCUUGGGAUCGUAUAAAAAAAAUUCCACGGCUACUGACUUUCAUUGAAGGAACAAAUCAAUUCAGUUUAUAAUCCACGGAUAUGAAAACAUCUGGAUUGAUUUUUCACUGUCACCAUUUUGGUGUUUGGAAGUUGACUCAGUUCAACUCGGUGAGAAUUUAUCUAUCGAGGGCCUGCGGUCCAGCAGAUGAGGCACUGAUGGAAUGAUUGAUGUAGCAGGGUCCCCGCUUGAAACAGCAGAGGAGAUAAAGGAUACGAGUCGGUGUCAUGCGGGUUCCAGGAGGUCAGGACCUGAAGGGAGGAUCUGAUGGUAAUAAUAUCCCCGUUUUAAAUAAGAGGAAAUGCUGGUUUGGGAACUAUAUCAUUCAUCAGGGGUCCCAGGUGCCUCGGAUGAUAAGAUGUCUCUUUCUCCCAUGUAGCACCCACUGGGGUAAUCGCCGAGCCAGUCACAUCGUGAAACUGGGCAAGAGCCACUGGAAAGGACUCUGGAGGCAGGGGUGCUCAGAUGGGAUGAGAGAGGAUGUGACCAGGCCUGAGGCAGGGCUGUAGGGCAGGAGAGGAGGGGAGCCCAAGUGAGAGGGAUGGCAUGGUCAUGGGCUAAAGGAAGCCACGAACUUCUCACUGCUCGGGGGUUUAAUACUAACCCCACCUCCAAGUGGUUCAGUGACUGCAGAUGGUAAAAUUGAAUCUCACAUCCAGCCGUCUGGAUAAUCUGGGUUUAUCCUGGCUGGUGGCACUCAGCAACAGAGCGGGGAGGCCUGGCCUGAAGGCUUCGAAAAGACGCCUGCGGUGUCGGGAACCAGGCAGUUGUGAUGUUCGGGAUGCUGAAAAGCGGAACAGCGUACGUACUCAUCCAUCAGAACAGGCGCUUGUGACCUAAGGGAUACAGCGUGGUUUUGGAGGCUCUGGUGCACCAAACAUUAACCAUUUAAGUCUGAAUCUUGGAGACCAAUGGAAGGAGGGUCCAGGGGGUGGAGCUAACGUGGACAUGGGGAGACCAUGGCUCUUUACCAUCUUCACUUGGCUACUUCUGAAUCCAGUGCAAGGAGAGGCAAAAUAGAGUCUCCCGAGGUUUAGCUGCCCCUCAGUUUACUCACAUGCAGCAAUUCCAGAUUUCCAGAAGAGACGUGACUGCCCCAGGCUAUGGUGAGAGUCCAUCCCUGAUCACCUGAUUAUUUGUGAACAGAAGAGUAGGACUCAUCUAAUGAGACAACAGUUAAAACCCGUGUUUGCCAAACACGGUGACAGUAAGUAGGCAAAAAGUACAUUAAGCUCCGACAGGGUAGAGACAAAACUAGCUUACAACUCAGCAAGGAAAAGACAAACUCCCCGGCAGAAGAAGGGGAAAGGCCACGCACAGUAUCUUUAUUUGUGCAACAUCAGUUCAUGGCCAACUUAUACAUGAACAAAAACUGCAGAACCUCACUAUGUAGCGAAGAAAUGCAAAUUCAAACAAGAUAUAGAAGUUUACCCGUCAUCUGGGCUAGAAUAUAAAUUCAAGUCCUGUGCACUGUUGACAAUGCUCAGGGAAUAAGUAGUCCCAUUCGCUUCCAGGGGUCCAGUCUUUCGCUUCUGAGUCCAGUCUCACUGACUCCAGUCAGUGAGAACGAGGUGAAAAGUAUCAAAAUCCUAAAAAAGAAAAAAAAAGUCCAUGAUCUGGAGAAUCUGAAAGAUCACCCUGGAAUUAGCAAAUCUGCUUCCAAGAACGGACUCCAAGAAGACAGACGAUGAAAACAAGGUACUGCAAAUAAAUUCGAGUGGUUACCAUGUGGCACAAAGUCCCCCGAGUCCUUUAGAUGUAUGGUUUCAUUCGGCCCUUGUCAUAAUCCUAUGUCCCGCUUUCCACAAAGCAGGAGGACCUGACAUGCUCAGCGACUUCAGACUGUGAAAAACCUACACGUACAGAUGGCAAACUGUAGCCCACGUAUGCAAUGGAAAACAUCACAGUCAUUACCUAGGAUUCAUAGGUGUUCAUCUGUUCAUAUUAAAAAUGUUCGUUUGAAUUGUUAAUUAAAAUGUUAUAGAACGGUAUUAAAAUCAUACAGCUAUGCAUAUGUCUGCAUAGGAAAAUA
This is a long non-coding RNA of Lutra lutra (Eurasian river otter), 3788 nucleotides long. RefSeq lists it as uncharacterized. The record is from RefSeq and is a predicted model, not a curated record. NCBI's taxonomy places the organism in Eukaryota, Metazoa, Chordata, Mammalia, Carnivora, Mustelidae. The transcript has 2 exons.